CCCAGACUCCUACGGGAGGCAGCAGUAAGGGAUAUUGGUCAAUGGGGGAAACCCUGAACCAGCAACGCCGCGUGAGGGAAGACGGUUUUCGGAUUGUAAACCUCUGUCCUCUGUGAAGAUGAUGACGGUAGCAGAGGAGGAAGCUCCGGCUAACUACGUGCCAGCAGCCGCGGUAAUACGUAUGGUGCAAGCGUUAUCCGGAUUUACUGGGUGUAAAGGGAGCGCAGGCGGCACGGCAAGCCUGAUGUGAAAGCCCGCGGCCCAACCGCGGGACUGCAUUGGGAACUACCGGGCUGGAGUGCAGGAGGGGCAGGCGGAAUUCCUGGUGUAGCGGUGAAAUGCGUAGAUAUCAGGAGGAACACCGGUGGCGAAGGCGGCCUGCUGGACUGCGACUGACGUUGAGGCCCGAAAGCGUGGGGAGCAAACAGGAUUAGAUACCCGAGUAGG
This 447-nucleotide ribosomal RNA is filed under the name uncultured bacterium. Its description in RNAcentral is "partial 16S ribosomal RNA". It matches the Rfam family "Bacterial small subunit ribosomal RNA", at positions 330 to 794 of the family's 1533-position model. The record is from RNAcentral.